RNAcentral lists this ribosomal RNA (906 nucleotides) under uncultured organism. RNAcentral's name for it is "bacterial SSU rRNA". It matches the Rfam family "Bacterial small subunit ribosomal RNA", at positions 578 to 1471 of the family's 1533-position model. The record is from RNAcentral.
GCGCGGAAAGUCCGGCGUGAAAGCCAGGGGCUCAACCUCUGGACUGCGUUGGAUACUUCCGUGCUUGAGGACUGGAGGGGAGACUGGAAUUCACGGUGUAGCAGUGAAAUGCGUAGAUAUCGUGAGGAAGACCGGUGGCGAAGGCGAGUCUCUGGACAGAUCCUGACGCUGAGGCACGAAGGCUGGGGGAGCGAACAGGAUUAGAUACCCUGGUAGUCCCAGCAGUAAACGAUGUGAGCUUGAUGUGGGGGGAUUCGACCCCUUCCGUGUCGAAGCCAACGCGAUAAGCUCACCGCCUGAGGAGUACGGCCGCAAGGCUAAAACUCAAAGAAAUUGACGGGGACCCGCACAAGCGGUGGAGUAUGUGGCUUAAUUCGAUGCAACGCGAAGAACCUUACCUGGCCUUGACAUGCAUUGUGUCGUCGGUGAAAGCCGGCUAGUCCUGGAAACAGGACGCUUUGCACAGGUGCUGCAUGGCUGUCGUCAGCUCGUGUCGUGAGAUGUUGGGUUAAGUCCCGCAACGAGCGCAACCCUUGUGGUCAGUUACUAACCGGCUUAGCCGGAGGACUCUGGCCAGACUGCCCUGUCAAACGGGGAGGAAGGUGGGGACGACGUCAAGUCAGUAUGGCCCUUAUGGCCAGGGCUGCACACGUACUACAAUGCCCGGUACAAUGUGAACCGAAACCGCGAGGUGGAGGAAAUCGCUCUUGAAAACCGGGCCCAGUUCGGAUUGGAGUCUGCAACUCGACUCCAUGAAGUCGGAAUCGCUAGUAAUGGCGUAUCAGCAACGACGCCGUGAUACGUUCCCGGGUCUUGUACACACCGCCCGUCACAUCAUGGAAGUCUCCUGUACCCGAAGCACGUGCGCCAACACUUUCAGGAGGCAGCGUUCGAAGGUAUGGGGGG